Molecule: ribosomal RNA, 492 nt
Filed under: uncultured bacterium
Lineage: Bacteria
Description: partial 16S ribosomal RNA
Rfam family: Bacterial small subunit ribosomal RNA
Source: RNAcentral
AGUGAACGCUGGCGGUAGGCCUAACACAUGCAAGUCGAACGGCAGCACAGUAAGAGCUUGCUCUUACGGGUGGCGAGUGGCGGACGGGUGAGGAAUACGUCGGAAUCUACUUUUUCGUGGGGGAUAACGUAGGGAAACUUACGCUAAUACCGCAUACGACCUACGGGUGAAAGCAGGGGAUCUUCGGACCUUGCGCGAUUGAAUGAGCCGAUGUCGGAUUAGCUAGUUGGCGGGGUAAAGGCCCACCAAGGCGACGAUCCGUAGCUGGUCUGAGAGGAUGAUCAGCCACACUGGAACUGAGACACGGUCCAGACUCCUACGGGAGGCAGCAGUGGGGAAUAUUGGACAAUGGGCGCAAGCCUGAUCCAGCCAUACCGCGUGGGUGAAGAAGGCCUUCGGGUUGUAAAGCCCCUUUGUUGGGAAAGAAAAGCAGCAGGUUAAUACCCCGCUGUUCUGACGGUACCCAAAGAAUAAGCACCGGCUAACUUCGUG